This 470-nucleotide ribosomal RNA is filed under the name Callulina laphami. Its description in RNAcentral is "partial 16S ribosomal RNA". It matches the Rfam family "Bacterial large subunit ribosomal RNA", at positions 1960 to 2597 of the family's 2925-position model. The record is from RNAcentral. Lineage: Eukaryota; Metazoa; Chordata; Amphibia; Anura; Brevicipitidae.
CAUAAUCACUUGUUCAUUAAAUNUGGACUAGUAUGAACGGCUUCACGAGGGCCACACUGUCUCCCUACUUUAAUCAAUAAAACUAAUCUCCCCGUGAAGAAACGGGGAUUCCUAUAUAAGACGAGAAGACCCCAUGGAGCUUUAAACCCAAAACCAACUACUAAUAUUUUCUUAUUAAAAACACUGUAUACCUGGCUUUUGGCUUUUGGUUGGGGUGACCGCGGAGAAUAAUAUAUCCUCCAUGAUGAAUAAUAUAUUUUUACUAAAGAACCACAUCUCUAAAGAUCCUAAACAUGACAUUUCUUGACCCAAGCCUACUUGAUCAACGAACCUAGUUACCCUGGGGAUAACAGCGCAAUCCAUUUCAAGAGCCCCUAUCGACAAAUGGGUUUACGACCUCGAUGUUGGAUCAGGGCAUCCCAGUGGUGCAACCGCUACUAAAGGUUUGUUUGUUCAACAAUUAAAGCCCU